This 1560-nucleotide ribosomal RNA is filed under the name Enterococcus sp. DIV1271a. RNAcentral describes it as "bacterial SSU rRNA". It matches the Rfam family "Bacterial small subunit ribosomal RNA". Lineage: Bacteria; Bacillati; Bacillota; Bacilli; Lactobacillales; Enterococcaceae. RNAcentral also lists the same sequence under 1 other name. The record is from RNAcentral.
UAUUAUGAGAGUUUGAUCCUGGCUCAGGACGAACGCUGGCGGCGUGCCUAAUACAUGCAAGUCGAACGCUUCUUUUUCCACCGGAGCUUGCUCCACCGGAAAAAGAGGAGUGGCGAACGGGUGAGUAACACGUGGGUAACCUGCCCAUCAGAAGGGGAUAACACUUGGAAACAGGUGCUAAUACCGUAUAACAAUCGAAACCGCAUGGUUUCGGUUUGAAAGGCGCUUUACGGUGCCGCUGAUGGAUGGACCCGCGGUGCAUUAGCUAGUUGGUGAGGUAACGGCUCACCAAGGCCACGAUGCAUAGCCGACCUGAGAGGGUGAUCGGCCACAUUGGGACUGAGACACGGCCCAAACUCCUACGGGAGGCAGCAGUAGGGAAUCUUCGGCAAUGGACGAAAGUCUGACCGAGCAACGCCGCGUGAGUGAAGAAGGUUUUCGGAUCGUAAAACUCUGUUGUUAGAGAAGAACAAGGGUGAGAGUAACUGUUCACCCCUUGACGGUAUCUAACCAGAAAGCCACGGCUAACUACGUGCCAGCAGCCGCGGUAAUACGUAGGUGGCAAGCGUUGUCCGGAUUUAUUGGGCGUAAAGCGAGCGCAGGCGGUUUCUUAAGUCUGAUGUGAAAGCCCCCGGCUCAACCGGGGAGGGUCAUUGGAAACUGGGAGACUUGAGUGCAGAAGAGGAGAGUGGAAUUCCAUGUGUAGCGGUGAAAUGCGUAGAUAUAUGGAGGAACACCAGUGGCGAAGGCGGCUCUCUGGUCUGUAACUGACGCUGAGGCUCGAAAGCGUGGGGAGCAAACAGGAUUAGAUACCCUGGUAGUCCACGCCGUAAACGAUGAGUGCUAAGUGUUGGAGGGUUUCCGCCCUUCAGUGCUGCAGCUAACGCAUUAAGCACUCCGCCUGGGGAGUACGACCGCAAGGUUGAAACUCAAAGGAAUUGACGGGGGCCCGCACAAGCGGUGGAGCAUGUGGUUUAAUUCGAAGCAACGCGAAGAACCUUACCAGGUCUUGACAUCCUUUGACCACUCUAGAGAUAGAGCUUCCCCUUCGGGGGCAAAGUGACAGGUGGUGCAUGGUUGUCGUCAGCUCGUGUCGUGAGAUGUUGGGUUAAGUCCCGCAACGAGCGCAACCCUUAUUGUUAGUUGCCAUCAUUUAGUUGGGCACUCUAGCAAGACUGCCGGUGACAAACCGGAGGAAGGUGGGGAUGACGUCAAAUCAUCAUGCCCCUUAUGACCUGGGCUACACACGUGCUACAAUGGGAAGUACAACGAGUCGCGAAGUCGCGAGGCUAAGCUAAUCUCUUAAAGCUUCUCUCAGUUCGGAUUGUAGGCUGCAACUCGCCUACAUGAAGCCGGAAUCGCUAGUAAUCGCGGAUCAGCACGCCGCGGUGAAUACGUUCCCGGGCCUUGUACACACCGCCCGUCACACCACGAGAGUUUGUAACACCCGAAGUCGGUGAGGUAACCUUUUGGAGCCAGCCGCCUAAGGUGGGAUAGAUGAUUGGGGUGAAGUCGUAACAAGGUAGCCGUAUCGGAAGGUGCGGCUGGAUCACCUCCUUU